Molecule: long non-coding RNA, 657 nt
Filed under: Bos mutus (wild yak)
Lineage: Eukaryota; Metazoa; Chordata; Mammalia; Artiodactyla; Bovidae
Description: lncRNA (ENSBMUG00000014430.1)
Source: RNAcentral
GUCUUCCAUUUCGAUUUGCCACCGCGCCUAGCACAGGCGCUGGGCACUCUGGCUAGACCGGCAGUAGAAACUUGGAAUAGUUCAAGUCCUAGAGAGGGGGGAAAAGGCAAGAUGAAGGGGCGGGACCGUCGAUCAGCCCCGCCCCUCAAAGAAGCCACGCCUUCCAGAACCCUGACGUCACAAGAUAGUCCCGCCCCUCAUUGUCAGUCCCGGGAGCCGGAGGAGGCGCCGGCCGCCGGGAGCUGAGCGCCGGAUCCCGUGGCGGGCGGGAGUGCGGGCCGGAGCCGCUGAGACAGAUAGCACAUACACGCAGAACCACCACCAUUAGCACCAACAGUAACAGCACAAAGCACCAGAAGAAAUGCCUUGGGGAAGUGGCCUGGCAAGAUCUGUCAGGGCGGAAAGGCUCUGAAGAGGCAGCGCUGAAGAGUUGGAGGAUGUUUACAGUUAUCCUUUGUUUCUGGGGACAGAGGACCAGUACACCGAGGAUGGAAGAAGUCAAGAGGCAGCUGCCAUUGCAGUAUAGUGCGUGACCGUGUCCACGACAGCAAGCAUCGGGAGCAGGCAGAAGCAUUGACAGGAAACUUCAGUCCCCUAAAUGGUAAGUGUGCCACAGUGUGCUCAGCCACACUGGGGCGAGGAUGGUAAGUGUGACAC